UCUCCCUCUCUGUGUCUCUCUCCUGGUUGCUCUGUCUCUCUCUGUCUCUUUUUAAGACUCUGUGGGUGUCUCUGUCUCUCUCUUCCCCCAUCUCUUUCUCCAUCUUUCUAUGUCUCUCUGUGUCUCUGCUUCUCUGACUUUUUUGGUCUCUCUCUCUGUCUCUCACUUUCUUUCUUGCUUGCUUGCUUGCUUGCUUGCUUUCUUGCUUGCUUGCUUUCUUUGUUUCUCUGUCUGUGUGUGUGUGUGUGUGUGUGUGUGUGUCUCACUCUCUUGAUAUCCCACUCUCACUCUCCAUCUCGCAGCUCUCUUUGGUUUCACUAUGCAAGCUGGCUCUCCCCGCCUGAUGAUCCAGUGGGAUUAGCAGGAACCGGGUGGACUACCCCCACCACCCGCACCCUGUGCCCAUCCAUGAACUGGGACAGAGGAGAGGACUGAUCGCGCUACUUGGCCUGGCUGGACAUGCUGACCCUCAGGAUCACAGGCAGUGGAAGGAGCAGCUCCUGGAAGGUCAGAGUGGGACCUGUGACGGAUGGAAGCCACAAGACGCAAGGAUUGAGAACAAUGGACUUUUUGAUGUGUGUUGCAACAAACGCAUAGCCGAGGGUUGUAAAUCGGAGGGAUCACCAGGUCUGCCUACCAGCCACCAGGCAAGUGGGGAGAAGCUGUCACCCCAACUUGAGUUUCAAGAAGACUCCUUGGAAGAAAAGACCACCAAAUUGAGAAUGAAAAGAUCAUACACGGGGGUCGUCAGACAUGGUCUGAGACCUGCUGGGAAGAACAGCAGCCUGGCCCUGCUACCCCCUGGCUUCUGCUCACAGCACUGACCCCAGCUAAUCCAAGAACAUGUCACCUAUAAUGAGAAUAUUGAAGAAAAAUCAACCAUCUUCCAGAUGUGUCUAUAUCAUGAUACGGUACAUGGGUAAGGUAAGCUGAACACAACAUAAAAAAGAAAACUUACAAACGCUCCCUUCAUCUCAUUAAAGAUGACUCCUUUAAAGACCAAGGGCAUCUGGGGGUCGCUAGGAUUCUCAUGUUCCAGCCGCCAUCCUUCUUGCCUCAGGACAAAUAAUUAUAAGCUGACAGUGACUCAAACACUAAAGUCUGUAUCAACUAGUUAAUCACUUAUGACAUACCAGAAAUCCAGCUCACCUAAACCUGGGAAAAAGGUGGCAUCCAAAUACACUGAGAGGAGAUCCUGAAAGUCCUUGGGAUUUUGUGUGGAAAAUGCAUACAGAGUAUAAUCACUAGCUGGGUACAAAUGAAAAGUGAAAUUGUAAAAUUUAACAGAUUUCUACUAAAAUUAUUGAAUCUCAAGCCUCAUUUCCCCUUUGUCCUAGGACAGUAAGUUGUAGCUAUUCUUGAGAUGGGGCAGUGGCUCCAUGCUCUGGCCCCCGACCUCAGCAGCUGUCCCAGCUCAUCACCCUGAGUGCCAGCUUUCCCAUCUCAUCUCAGGAUCUGCACUGGACGGCACCAGGGCUUUCUUCAGCGAACAUCUAAACUCUCUCAAGUGUCUCCAGAGACUUUCACAUGUCUACAAAGAUGACCUCAUUCUGUAACAGCAUGGAUUUAACUUGCUCUUCGAUGUCACUCCUUCACAGAGUGCACUGUUCAUCGUCACCCUAUCCGCUAGCGUCAGUCUUACUAAAAGUCAAACAUCAAUGUUAGUGGUAACUCUGGAGGCCUGGCAUUGUAGUGAUAUCCCCAAGAGAAAAUUGUUUUGAACCUUUCUGGGAAAAGUUCAUGUACCUUUUAUUCAAACGCUAGUUUUUAUAAUCUCGCUACCAUGUGGCUUUCCUGAAGGAUGAAAUUUCUAAUGUCCUUCAGGUAGAGAGAGGUAAAAAGUAUUCUAGAACAUUAAUUGCCCACUCCUCUCAUCCCUUCUCAGAAACUAACUGAAUUCCAGUGGGUGUGCCUGGCAAACCCAAACACGGUUUUCCGUUCAGGAUGCUGGUCUUACCUGUGAAGGCGUUCAUGAACGUGGAGAGGUACCGGUUCAACAUUUUGAAGAAAGGGUCUCUGCAUGGGUAUUUCCGAGACCCACAAAGGAUGGUAUGCUCAAGAAUGUGAGGAACAUCGGUACUGUCCACGGGAGUGGUGCGGAACUGCACGCUAGGGAAGAAGGAACUGCACGCCAGGGAAGGGGGAGGAACAAGGAACAGAAGGCCAGCGACGGGGAGAAACAGAACGCUAGGGAAGGAGAAUGACUAGAAUACAAAACGUUCAUCUUAGUGCUGUGGACACAGUUCCCAGACGCAUCAUCACCUCGGGCUACUAGAAAUCAUUCUGACACCACAAUCCUCCAACCCAGGGUUUCCCAACUGUAAUGUAAAUCAUUGAUUCAGACUAUAAAAUUAUAUUUUGAUGAGAUUGUAAGUCCGUGUAAGCUUUUCCUUAUUUUUCAAGAUGCUCUGUCAAUAAAAAUACUAGUGAGAUGAUAUUUCAACCACGUAACAUACAGUCAGUGCUUUAAACCAAGCUUGUCUAACCCACAGCCUGCAGUCCGCAUGCUCAGGAUGGCUUGGAAUGCAUCCCAACACAAUCCCUACACUUUCUUAAAACAUUGAGGUCCUCUAUUUAUUUUUUUUUAGCUCAUCAACUGUCCUUAGUGUUAGUGUAUUUAGUGUGUGGCCUAAGACAGUUGUUCUUCUAAUGUGGCACAGGGAAGCCAAAAGAUUGGACAUCCUUGAUUUAAAUAAAACAUUCAAGACCAUGUUCUUACAAUGCACCACGUACCUGAACAGAUUGUUCGUGUCUUCUCUGGCCAGGUGUAAAUACCUGGCUCCUCUGUCAUCGUGGCUGAGCUUCAUGGCCGUCAGGAACAGCUCGGGAACAGAUGUCACCUGAGUUAACCAGAAAAACACGAGCAGUUAAAUGUAGACAAAAUAGCCGUGAAAUGGUGAUCUUCGACACACUGAGAAAACUGGCUUUUCUGCCUGAAAUUAGAUGAUACCGGGAAGCCAGUAUUUCAGAGCUGCAGAGAACAGAACCGUCCUGUCCAAGUCCCUUAUCCUACAAACAAGGAAAGUAAGACCUAAAGAAGGCAAAUGAGAAUGUGUGUGUAUAAAUGUAUAUUUUUGAGUGCUUAUUACUGGCUAGGUAUUUUCCAUUUUUUUUAUUUUUAAAUUUUUUAUUCUGUUUUGGCUAGGCAUUUUCUAAUCAUGUCACAUAGAAUCCUGUGAGGGAGGUAGUCUCAUCCUCAUUUACAGAUGAAAAAACUGAGGCUCAGGGUGAUGAAACAAGCUGCCCGAAUCAGAGCCAGGAUUCACCCUGGUGUCUGCCCUUCCCACGGUACUGUGCUGCACCUAAAUAACACAGCACCCUUUCCAACGCCUGCUGAGUGCCUCCUGCUUUUGUGUACUGCACCUCAGUAACACAGCACCCCUUCCAACAUCGGCUGUGUGCCUCCUGUUUCUGUGCAUAUAAUCUCCUGUAGUGCGAAGCACGGGCCUGCAGGAGGGGCAAUGCUGGAGUGGGCUACCGGCGACAGUGGGGAGAGGGUCCAGGAUCAGCCUUGCUUCUCCUAGUUUGGGAUGGAUUCUCGGUGGUAGCUGUAAGCACAAAGCUGGGGCUUCCAGAAGAGCUGGAGGGGCUGGGAGGAUAGAAAUGCCCCCCAAAAAGAUGAAAGACUCCCCACUCCUGGGGCAGGGUGGAAGGUCUUCUCCUACCUUAGGCAAGCCUCCUGGUAAGUGUCCAUACUCUUUGGUAUGAAAGAAACUGUCUUCUCUUCCAGUCAUGCCAGCCGACCCAGCCCUCUCCCUCAAUCACAUACCAUGUCCCUGUGAUCACCACAACACGUGCCACCCCCUCCGUCCAGGUGCCAUGAGUCACCUGGCCAAGCGCACACAGCAAGUCGCUGGCAGAGGUGAGACCUCGGGUCUCCUCAGCCCAAUCUAGGGAGCCUGCCAUCCAACAGUCAUGCAUAAAGCGGCCCACUAUGACCUGCAUCAUCUACCGCUGUUAAAUUACUUGUUUCCAAGCUUACCGUACUUUGUAUCAGAUGAUCAAUGCAUUUAAAAUCAGCAGAUACAGUGAGAUGUCUGCUUUCUAAUAAUAUAUAGCUUUAAUAAUAAUAGCGUUCAUGGUAGCUAUUUCUCAAACAAGAAACAUGACUUAUCGUAAGUUUCUAUGGCUGGACACAGUGGCUCACACCUUUAAUCCCAGCACUUUGGAAGGCCAAGGUGAUAUGGUUUGGCCUCGUCCCCACCCAAAUCUCAUCUUGAAUUGUAGUUCCCAUAAUCUCCACAUGUUGUGGGAGGGACCUGGUAGGAGGUAAUUGAAUCAUUAGGGGGGUUCCCCCAUGUUAUUCUCAUGACAGUGAGUAUGUUCUCACGAGAUCUGAUGGUUUUAUAAGGGGCUUCCCCCUUCACUUGUCAUUCUCUUCCAUACCACCCUGUGAAGAGGUGCCUUCCACCAUGAUUGUAAGUUUCCUGAGGCCUCCCCAGCCAUGCAGAACUGUGAGUCAAUUAAACCUCUUUACUUUUUAGCUCAUUCAUUAUAAAUUAUCCAGUCUUGGGUAUUUCUUCAUAGCAGUGUGAGAUUAGACUAAUACACAAGACAAGAGGAUUGCCUGAACUCAGGAGUUUGAGACCAGCCUAGACAACAAAGUUUCC
Molecule: long non-coding RNA, 4610 nt
Filed under: Macaca fascicularis (crab-eating macaque)
Lineage: Eukaryota; Metazoa; Chordata; Mammalia; Primates; Cercopithecidae
Description: lncRNA (ENSMFAG00000053680.1)
Source: RNAcentral